AUUGAACGCUGGCGGCAUGCCUUACACAUGCAAGUCGAACGGCAGCACGGGAGCAAUCCUGGUGGCGAGUGGCGAACGGGUGAGUAAUGUAUCGGAACGUGCCCAGUCGUGGGGGAUAACGCAGCGAAAGCUGUGCUAAUACCGCAUACGAUCUAUGGAUGAAAGCGGGGGAUGGCAAGACCUCGCGCGAUUUGAGCGGCCGAUAUCAGAUUAGGUAGUUGGUGGGGUAAAGGCCCACCAAGCCUGCGAUCUGUAGCUGGUCUGAGAGGACGAUCAGCCACACUGGGACUGAGACACGGCCCAGACUCCUACGGGAGGCAGCAGUGGGGAAUUUUGGACAAUGGGCGCAAGCCUGAUCCAGCAAUGCCGCGUGAAGGAUGAAGGCCUUCGGGUUGUAAACUGCUUUUGUACGAGACGAAAAGACUCGCUCUAAUACAGUGGGUACAUGACGGUAUCGUAAGAAUAAGCACCGGCUAACUACGUGCCAGCCGCCGCCGUAA
Molecule: ribosomal RNA, 500 nt
Filed under: uncultured bacterium
Lineage: Bacteria
Description: partial 16S ribosomal RNA
Rfam family: Bacterial small subunit ribosomal RNA
Source: RNAcentral